RNAcentral lists this ribosomal RNA (306 nucleotides) under uncultured bacterium. RNAcentral's name for it is "partial 16S ribosomal RNA". It matches the Rfam family "Bacterial small subunit ribosomal RNA", at positions 507 to 807 of the family's 1533-position model. The record is from RNAcentral.
GACAGCAGUAGCCGCGGUAAUACGGAGGGUGCAAGCGUUAAUCGGAAUUACUGGGCGUAAAGCGCACGCAGGCGGUCUGACAAGUCAGAUGUGAAAUCCCCGGGCUUAACCUGGGAACUGCAUUUGAAACUGUCAGGCUGGAGUCUUGUAGAGGGGGGUAGAAUUCCAGGUGUAGCGGUGAAAUGCGUAGAGAUCUGGAGGAAUACCGGUGGCGAAGGCGGCCCCCUGGACAAAGACUGACGCUCAGGUGCGAAAGCGUGGGGAGCAAACAGGAUUAGAUACCCCGGUAGUCCCUGUCUCUUAUAC